ACAUUGCUCUCAACUUUUAGAGUGAGAGAGAGAUAGAGAGUUGAACAAAUUCUUCAUAGCAACUAGAGGAAGGAUCCAAAGGG
This 83-nucleotide non-coding RNA is filed under the name Arabidopsis thaliana (thale cress). The record is from RNAcentral. Lineage: Eukaryota; Viridiplantae; Streptophyta; Magnoliopsida; Brassicales; Brassicaceae.